UAUUGCUCCGUGGAAAAGUUUGAAUAACAAUGGCGGAAUGUAGUUUUAAGGUUAAAAUGGAUUUCGAAGAGCUGUUGAGAGAAUCGGGUGUUCCUUUAAGAGCCACAAUACAGCAAAGAGCUGAGGAAGAGAAAGCAGAGAAGCCCGGAGAAGAGGCGGCAGCCUCAGACUCUGCUGCGAGCUGGUGGAGGACGCAGUAACCUCGGCUGCCACCCAAGCUUCGUAUCGUAUAUGGACAGCGGAGUCCUGGAUACAUAUUUUUAGAAUCGUAAACUUCAUCAUAUUCACUAUACAGUAUGCGGUUUCGGCCGCAGCCUGCCUGUGUGAACACGGUAUUGAAAAACUAUAUAUAUUGAGCAUUAUUUCAUACUAAAUCCGAUGGAAUAUUAAUAUUUCUCAUAUAGCCUACGUUUGUGCACAAAACUGCAAAUGGAUUUUAUAUUCUGAAUGCUUGAAUCAACGCGAGCUCUCUGGAGAAUGUGCAUUUUCACAUACAGAUUACCAUGGUUAAUAAAUGGUCAGUAGAUGACAUGUCACAAACCCCAUUGAUGCAAAAAGACUUGUUGAAGAACAUGGAAACAUCUAAAUAAAAUGGCCCCAAACAUCAUCAGGAGUGCAAAAGAAGGAAGUAAAAAACAUCUCUACGCCAAUCUCAUUGGAACAGCAGAGGAAACCACAGAAGAAAGAAAGCCGUGAACGUUUGAAAUAACGAGAACCCAAAGGUCCCACACCAACCAUAGUGUUCAACGGCUUUCCUGAUCUUCUCAACUUAAGCCCAAAAGUAUCAACUUUAUAAUGGACAAUGUGAACAUAAUAUGUGGAAGACAUUGACAUCACAGGCUGUGGAAU
Paramisgurnus dabryanus is the source of this 849-nucleotide non-coding RNA. Lineage: Eukaryota; Metazoa; Chordata; Actinopteri; Cypriniformes; Cobitidae. The record is from RefSeq and is a predicted model, not a curated record.